ACUCCUUUUUGGUUCAUAAGCAUGAUGAUUGGGUGUUCAAGUUGUCGUGUAAGGUGUGCCUUCCUUUAAACCUUGUGGGAAUGCUGGCACUGUACACAACGUGGACC
This 107-nucleotide small nucleolar RNA is filed under the name Sciurus vulgaris (Eurasian red squirrel). RNAcentral describes it as "Small nucleolar RNA U13 (ENSSVLG00005013195.1)". It matches the Rfam family "Small nucleolar RNA U13". The record is from Rfam by way of RNAcentral. Lineage: Eukaryota; Metazoa; Chordata; Mammalia; Rodentia; Sciuridae.